RNAcentral lists this transfer RNA (76 nucleotides) under gut metagenome. RNAcentral's name for it is "tRNA-Lys". It matches the Rfam family "tRNA". From Rfam's summary of the family: Transfer RNA (tRNA) molecules are approximately 80 nucleotides in length. The record is from RNAcentral.
GCACUCUUAGCUCAGUUGGUAGAGCAACUGACUCUUAAUCAGUGGGUCCAGAGUUCGAAUCUCUGAGGGUGUACUA